This 414-nucleotide ribosomal RNA is filed under the name Pristimantis cf. pluvialis ABGD cluster 260. Its description in RNAcentral is "partial large subunit ribosomal RNA". It matches the Rfam family "Bacterial large subunit ribosomal RNA", at positions 1836 to 2439 of the family's 2925-position model. The record is from RNAcentral. Lineage: Eukaryota; Metazoa; Chordata; Amphibia; Anura; Strabomantidae.
CUUGACCCUAUAAGAGGUCCAGCCUGCCCAGUGACUCUGUUCAACGGCCGCGGUAUCCUAACCGUGCAAAGGUAGCACAAUCACUUGUCUUCUAAAUAAAGACUAGUAUGAAAGGCAUCACGAGGGCUAGACUGUCUCCCCCCUCUAAUCAGUGAACCUAAUCUCCCCGUGAAGAAGCGGGGAUCCACAUAUAAGACGAGAAGACCCUAUGGAGCUUAAAACAAUAUAAUACCUGCUUUUUCCCACCUAUUCAGAUUUUUUACCUCAGCACACUAAUUACAAGUUUUUGGUUGGGGCGACCACGGAGAAAAACCAACCCUCCACAAUGAAAGGAACUUUUUUCCCCAAACAAUAAGUUACAACUUUACAUUUCAAUAAAUUGACAUCCAUUGACCCAAUAAUUGAUCAACGAGC